AUUGAACGCUGGCGGCAGGCCUAACACAUGCAAGUCGAGCGGAUGAAGGGAGCUUGCUCCUGGAUUCAGCGGCGGACGGGUGAGUAAUGCCUAGGAAUCUGCCUGGUAGUGGGGGAUAACGUCCGGAAACGGGCGCUAAUACCGCAUACGUCCUGAGGGAGAAAGUGGGGGAUCUUCGGACCUCACGCGAUCGGAUGAGCCUAGGUCGGAUUAGCUAGUUGGUGGGGCAAAGGCCUACCAAGGUGACGAUCCGUAACUGGUCUGAGAGGAUGAUCAGUCACACUGGAACUGAGACACGGUCCAGACUCCUACGGGAGGCAGCAGUGGGGAAUAUUGGACAAUGGGCGAAAGCCUGAUCCAGCCAUGCCGCGUGUGUGAAGAAGGUCUUCGGAUUGUAAAGCACUUUAAGUUGGGAGGAAGGGCAGUAAGUUAAUACCUUGCUGUUUUGACGUUACCAACAGAAUAAGCACCGGCUAACUUCGUG
RNAcentral lists this ribosomal RNA (484 nucleotides) under uncultured bacterium. RNAcentral's name for it is "partial 16S ribosomal RNA". It matches the Rfam family "Bacterial small subunit ribosomal RNA", at positions 30 to 507 of the family's 1533-position model. The record is from RNAcentral.